GGCCGCACUAGUGAUUAGAGUUUGAUCCUGGCUCAGGAUGAACGCUGGCGGCGUGCCUAAUACAUGCAAGUCGAGCGAACAGAUAAGGAGCUUGCUCCUUUGACGUUAGCGGCGGACGGGUGAGUAACACGUGGGUAACCUACCUAUAAGACUGGAAUAACUCCGGGAAACCGGGGCUAAUGCCGGAUAAUAUUUAGAACCGCAUGGUUCUAAAGUGAAAGAUGGUUUUACUAUCACUUAUAGAUGGACCCGCGCCGUAUUAGCUAGUUGGUGGGGUAAUGGCUUACCAAGGCAACGAUACGUAGCCGACCUGAGAGGGUGAUCGGCCACACUGGAACUGAGACACGGUCCAGACUCCUACGGGAGGCAGCAGUAGGGAAUCUUCCGCAAUGGGCGAAAGCCUGACGGAGCAACGCCGCGUGAGUGAUGAAGGUCUUCGGAUCGUAAAACUCUGUUAUUAGGGAAGAACAAAUGUGUAAGUAACUGUGCACGUCUUGACGGUACCUAAUCAGAAAGCCACGGCUAACUAC
Molecule: ribosomal RNA, 530 nt
Filed under: uncultured bacterium
Lineage: Bacteria
Description: partial 16S ribosomal RNA
Rfam family: Bacterial small subunit ribosomal RNA
Source: RNAcentral